Molecule: ribosomal RNA, 597 nt
Filed under: uncultured bacterium
Lineage: Bacteria
Description: bacterial SSU rRNA
Rfam family: Bacterial small subunit ribosomal RNA
Source: RNAcentral
CCUACGGGAGGCAGCAGUAGGGAAUAUUGGUCAAUGGGCGAAAGCCUGAACCAGCAACGCCGCGUGCGCGAUGAAGGCCUUCGGGUCGUAAAGCGCUUUUGGGAGGGAUGAAAAUGACAGUACCUCCCGAAUAAGGAUCGGCUAACUACGUGCCAGCAGCCGCGGUAAGACGUAGGAUCCAAGCGUUAUCCGGAAUUACUGGGCGUAAAGGGCGUGUAGGAGGUUGGGCAAGUCGGCCAUGAAAGCUCCCGGCUCAACUGGGAGAGGCUGGUCGAUACUGCCUGGCUAGAGGGCAAGAGAGGGAGGUGGAAUUCCCGGUGUAGUGGUGAAAUGCGUAGAUAUCGGAAGGAACACCAGUGGCGAAGGCGGCCUCCUGGCUUGUACCUGACUCUGAAACGCGAAAGCAUGGGUAGCAAACAGGAUUAGAAACCCUGGUAGUCCAUGCCAUAAACGAUGUCAACUGGGUGUCGGCGAAGUAAAAUUUGUCGGUGCCGAAGCUAACGCGUUAAGUUGACCGCCUGAGGACUACGAUCGCAAGAUUAAAACUUAAAGAAUAGUACGGACGUGAGACGUGCGACGGACGACACAGGGAGUAGG